CUGGCAGUCAUGUGGUGCACCCAUCCCGGCGCAAACAGCUUUGGGCAGGAGCCCGACUGCAAGCUCGUUCUCUCUCUUCCCCCAUGCCAACUUCCCUUGAAAUUAGGAAAUGUUUCCACCAGGCAUUUCAGAGGUGACCUUGGGUCCAGAGCUCGGUGCGCCAUGCAAAGCCCAUGGCAGCCCAUGGAGGACACGCUGCGCGCUGCCAAGAGGACGCCCCGCGUGGGACCGCGUGCCCGGGACCGCCAAGUGUGCUCUGUGCAUGGCAAAGCCACAGCAAGUCUGCAGAAAGACACAGAUGCGUACAUGAACACAGCCAGGAAAGGAAGAACCACCUUCAAAUACCUGAGACACACUGCAAUCAUUUAGACAGAUAAACAUCUUGAUUCCUAGAGAUAACAGGAGCUGAAUGGUUGGCCUCAAAACCAAGCAUUCGUGACAAUUCUUGAAACAAGAAUGUUAUUACUCUCCAUUUCCACAACGAUUUACAUGCAACUGCAAAGAAAACCCUUCUCCCCGUGCAGCUGGAUCGUGUACUCUAAACACGCUGCCCGCAGCCUUGCCAUAGUACCUGAACACCCUGAGCUGGGUGCUGCCUGCCAGAGAUUUUCCUUCUCUUCGCAGCCUGGGAAGGGAGAACAUGGGUUCACCUAAACAGACAGCGACUGUGAUGGCAAUUUCUCAUGCUACGCAAUACAAAACAACUACCACGUGUUUGCUCCCCUCUCUCCCUCUCCAAAAAAAAAGGAGUUGAAUGAGAUCCACCAAGAUUAGUCAAGAAGGGAGCUUGCCCUUGGGGACUGCACCUCGGCACUCGUGGCCAAGUCCCAGAGACUGCUGCGGGACACACUGAUGCAGCCACUCCAGUGAAAGCGCCUGUUGGUGCCAUCUUAUUUUUGCAGCACCCAUCCCUAAGAGUCUUGCACUCACCUCCACAACUAAAUAUCUGCAAAGGGUAACACAGAUGUCUCCUAUGCAUUCAGCUGUCCCUGAAC
Long non-coding RNA from Oxyura jamaicensis (ruddy duck), 995 nucleotides. RefSeq lists it as uncharacterized. The transcript is spliced from 2 exons. The record is from RefSeq and is a predicted model, not a curated record. NCBI's taxonomy places the organism in Eukaryota, Metazoa, Chordata, Aves, Anseriformes, Anatidae.